CUACCGGGAACAUCUCUUACAAAGGCUUGUGCUAUGCAGUUUCUUCCCAGCCCUGAUCUCGCUGAAGUAGAAUUUCUGCCCUGCCAUGUCCUACAUUGCCCUAGAGGUGCAAGGUACAAUGUCCAGCAUUGGUUCCUCAACAGGAGACAGGCCAUAAAACGUGUUGCUUCUAGGUGUUUGGGAAGCUAAGAAACAACACGCUCUCCACAGUGCUCUUACAGCCUACCGGGAACAUGGCUCACAAAGGCCUGUGAAACGCAGUUUCUUCCCAGCUCUGAUCUCGCUCAAGUAGAACUUCUGCUCUGCCAUGCAAUACGUUGCCCCAGAGGUGGAAGUCACAAAGCCCUGUCUGGCAUCCUCAAGAGGAGACAGGCCACCGACCUUCUUACUUCCAGCUCUUGGUCAAGGUGAGAAUGAACUCGCUUUCCACAGGGUUCUUACAGCCUACUGGGAACAUCACAUACAAAAGCCUGAAACGCAGUUUGUUUCUAGCCAUGAUCUCACGGCCUUGGAACAUCUGCUCUAAGCCAUGUCCCACAUUGCUCUAGAGGUGGAAGACACAAAGUGCUGAGUUAUUGCAACCAAAGGAGACAAGCAACAAACGUUCUUGCUUCCAGCUCUUUGGGAAGCUAAGACACAACUCGCUAUCCACAGUGCUCUUACAGCCUGCUGGGAACAUCUCUCACAAAGGCCUGUGAAAGGCCAUUUCUUCCCAGCCCUGAUCUCGCUGAAGUAGAACUUCUGCUCUGCCGUGUCCUACAUUGCCCUAUAGCUGCAAGGCACAAAGUGCUGUCUUCUUUCCAAAGGGCGAGUUGGGCCCCAAAGCAUCUUGCUUCCAGCUCUUUGGGAAGCGUAAUAACAUCUCGCUCUGCACAGUGCUCUUACAGCCUACCGGGACAUCUCUGACAAAGGCCUGUGAAACGCAAUUUCUUUGCAGGCCUGAUCUGGCUGAAGUAGAACUUCUGCUCUGGGUGUGCUACAUUGCCCUAGAGCUGCAAGUCACAAAGUGCUGUCUUCUUUGCAAACGGCGAGGUGGUCCCCAGAGCAUCUUUCUUCCAGCUCUUUGGGAAGCUAAGAAUCAAGUCACUCUGCACAACGCUCUUACAGCCUACCGGGAACAUCUCUUACAAAGGCCUGUGAAACGCAGUUUCUUUGCAGGCCUGAUCUGGCUGAAGUAGAACUUCUGCUCUGGUUGUGCCACAUUUGCCUAGAGCUGCAAGGCAGAAAGUGCAGUCUUUUUUCCAAAGGGCGAGCUGGACCCCAAAGCAUCUUGCUUCCAUCUCUUUGGGAAGCUUAAUAACAACUCGCUCUGCAGAGUGCUCUUACAGCCUACUGGGACAUCUCUUACAAAGGCCUGUGAAACGCAGUUUCUUUGCAGGCCUGAUCUGGCUGAAGUAGAACUUCUGCUCUGGGUGUUCUACAUUGCCCUAGAGCUGAAAGGCAAGACGUGCAGUCUUCUUUCCAAAGGGCAAGUUGGGCCAGAAACCACCUUGCUUCCAGCUCUUUGGGAAGCUAAGAAAGAACUCGCUCUGCACAGUGCUCUUACAGCCUACCGGGAACAUCUCUUACAAAGACCUGUGAAAAGCAGUUUCUUUGCAGGCCUGAUCUGGCUGAAGUAGAACUUCUGCUCUGGUAUUCUACAUUGCCCUAGAGCUGAAAGGCACAACGUGCAGUCUUCUUUCCAAAGGGCGAGUUG
This 1696-nucleotide long non-coding RNA is filed under the name Equus caballus (horse). RNAcentral describes it as "lncRNA (ENSECAG00000054722.1)". Lineage: Eukaryota; Metazoa; Chordata; Mammalia; Perissodactyla; Equidae. The record is from RNAcentral.